Molecule: long non-coding RNA, 1067 nt
Organism: Rana temporaria (common frog)
Lineage: Eukaryota; Metazoa; Chordata; Amphibia; Anura; Ranidae
Exons: 4
Source: RefSeq, a predicted model, not a curated record
GCAUGUCUUUGGACAAAUAAGGAGGGAAUCAUGGGUAUUCCUAAGUCUGUGGCACCAUUGAUCAUCUCAUACAUUCACGGUCCAGGUCACAUAGGCCGUAAGCCCAUCUUAAAACAGUACAGAGACCAUUUUCAAACAGAAGGACUCAUAAAAAUAAUACAAGACUUUGUAAGCUCAUGCGUUACAUGCGCACAAAAUAAUGUACAGGGAAAGGCAAUGGGAAGACACGGAAAUUUGCCCCCUCCAUUAGGACCUCUUACAGACUUACAAAUAGACUUUACGCAUAUGCCAAAACAAAAAGGAAAUGUAAAAUAUCUUUUGGUAAUUGUGGAUAAAUUUUCCGGGUGGGUAGAAGCAGUGCCCACUACUGGGGAAACUGCAGGAAUAGCGGUACGAGCUAUUAUAAAUAAUUGGGUGAGUCGAUUCGGACUCCCAGUGAAUAUCUGGUCUGACCAGGGACCAGCUUUUGCCUCUAGACUCACACAGGAAUUCUCUAGGAUUUUGGGGAUACAAUGGAAAUUGCACAUCCCUUAUCACCCUCAGAGUGCGGGAAUUGUCGAACGGAUGAAUAGAAAUAUUAAGGAUAAACUGAAUAAAGCUACUCAAGGUACUAUGAAAAAUUGGUCCUUAUAUCUCCCAGGUGUACUUUACCAGAUAAGGGUCACUCCUAAUUCUAGAGGGUAUUCCCCUUUUGAGGUACUCAUGGGACACCCUCCAGCUGAGAAUAGUGUAGGAAAGGAUAAUGAUUUGUUUUCUCAACAGGAAACUUGGAUGAAACAUCUGGUAAGUACUAUUCAACAUACCCAAGAAGGAGUUGCUGUCACCUUUUCUCCUCUUUCCACAGAUCCAACUCACCCUUUUAUACCUGGAGAUGAGGUAUUGGUUAAGCAGUUGGCCGUAAGAAGAAAGACGGGCCCCAUUUACCAAGGCCCAUAUACGGUGGAAAAGGUCUCCCGGACAGCCGUAAAGGUUGAAGGCCUAGGACCAUGGAUUCAUGCGAGCAGAUUGAAAAAGGGUCCCUUGAAGAUAAAGACCCCAGAAGCCCCGAUGGCUCCCCCCUUGGAGCG